Pipra filicauda (Wire-tailed manakin) is the source of this 5512-nucleotide long non-coding RNA. RefSeq lists it as uncharacterized. The record is from RefSeq and is a predicted model, not a curated record. NCBI's taxonomy places the organism in Eukaryota, Metazoa, Chordata, Aves, Passeriformes, Pipridae. The transcript has 3 exons.
CCGGCUGCGUGCGCUGCCUGCGGGUCGAACCGUUCUGUGCAGGGCACGGGCGGUUCCUCGCGGCUCGCUCGGGGCGGCACGUACCUACAGUCGAUGGCCUGUGUAAUCCCGAGGAGACAUCCAGGGAUUUACUUGUGCAGGCCGUGAAAGUGUUCGGAGUGCUGUUAGUUUUACCAGCUAAUCACAGAAUCAUCAGGGUUGUAAGAGACCUCUAAGGUCACGAAGUCCAACCAGCAACCUAAUGCUUCCACUGUCUACUUAUUUCUAUUUUUAACAUUUUUUUAUUUACUUUUUUUUUGCUAAGUCGUGUUUUCAGUGUGCUUCAUUACAUGUUUAAUCUGUACAUUUCCUUAAUUUGAGGGUUAAAUGUUUUCACUUACAAUUAUUUCACUUUACAAAACUGUCUAUCAGUAAUUUCCUGCUAUUCGGUACCUAAUUCUUAUUGCUGUUCUCAAGAGGCUCGAGUGGUGUCCCUCUUUGCUAGAACUCUCCAAAAUCCUGUCUCCACAGUCGCCAUGGGCUGGGCUCUGCUGAAUGAUGCUUUAUAACAGCUACAAUAAAUCUAAUAACUGGCAGCUAUUUCAACAUGGACAUGUGUUGCAGGAUUAAUGUCCAAGACAGUUUCUUAUCUUUUCUGCUGGGAUUCACAAAGAGACAAGGAGACACGUGUUGCUCCCUCGGGUUGUCUGUAGGGGUACAUCGCACAGUAGUUUUACUUUAUCAGGGUUUGGUGUCAAAGAAGUUGGGAUGGUCAGUUCCUAGUAAGCAGAGGAAGCUGCAUCUACUUUCUGAUAAAUUCACAACAAUUCUUAAUAGGAACUUGUCAUCAAAACAGUUCAAGGAGGAAAUUCCAAAAGCAUUUUGUUUUCUGUAAUUUGGCUGGCCUUCAUCUGCUAAGGGAAGCCCCAGCAGGCAAAUAAUCCUUGCCAACAGUGAGACAGAGAGCAGUUGAACAGCAGCUUUGUCUUUCCUAGUCUGUCAUUCAGAUCUUUUGUUUUUCUUUUUUUUAUUUUAAACAUCUUUUUUCCAUUCUCUUUGAUGUUUUGCCAGACUUCUGCAAUUAAAUAUAACACACAUUUUUUUCUCAUGCAAUAGCAAACACUCAUUUUUUUACUGAUGUAUAUCUACCUCUCAGCUGGUAGACAGGCAACAAAUUAAAAUUCUCCAAUAUUUGUGACCACAAAUUAAAUCUGAAUGCUCAACAGCUGCUGAAGUUUUAUGUAUGUUUGUUUCUAAACUUGACAGACACAGACUAUCCCUGCUGCUGGAGUUUUGUGAAGUGACAGGAGGAGUUAAAAAUCUGUUGGUUUGUUGGGGUUUUUUUCACCUUGAUAAUUAAACUGACUUUUAAUUUGGCCUAUUUGGCUAAUUUGGCCUGUUGGAAAUGCAUAUUUAAUGACUGGAACUACUGCCUUUACUGGUCCACGCUUCUGAUCUUUUGGGCCCAAAUCUGGCAGAGCAUAAACCCAGUAUAAAGUCAUUUGGUUCAGUGCAAUUUUACUGGCUGUUUUUAAUUUUUUUGAAAAUACCAGUUUCAGAAAUUCUUUGAUGUCUACUCAAUAGGAAAGACUAUCUUGAGUGUAUACCCGUUCCUGAACACAAGAAGCCAUCAGCAUAUCAAAUGUUUUUGUUGGAUUUUGUUGCAAACGCUCACAUCUAAAGUUACUAUACCAUUGUUCCUUUGGUUAUAGUGCUGAAUUAUUCAAUAUUAUCAUCCGCUGCCCUUGGGCUUAGGAGAUCUCUUUCACAGUUAAUUAUUAAAAGAUAUACCUCCACUUUUUUAAUUAAUGCUGGUGUUUCUUAUUAAGGGACCCAGCUCCUACAGCCCUUUGUGGGUGGGAAGUACCUCUUACAUGUUUCCUAUUUCAUGUUCAGGCAGGCAUCGAACCAUGUCUAAUGCAACUUGGUUCAUACCCACCUCUGACCAUAAACUCUGGGGCACAAUUCAGCUGGUAUAAACAGUCAAAGGCUCCAAUUAAGUAAAUAGAGCUAUGACAAAUGUAGCAGGGGUCUAGUUCUCCCUCUCCCACCCCCUUCCAAUUUUGUUUACAAGUUAUGGUACAAAUUUGGAUUUAGAAUAAUACUUUUGCUGACACAGCAGUUGUCUGUGCUGACUGCUGUAGUUUCUGAUAGUGGAUAGGAGUACAUCUGUGCUCCCGUUCCACAUCAGACUUCAGCACUUAGCUUGUAUUUUGGCUGGAACUAAAUUGGCUUAAUUCUUUUAAAUGGCUAAUUAUAAUUUGUUAGUUAUGGAAAGAGUCUCCUGGAGUUGGAAGGAAAUCUUUCUCCCUUUGUAGGGAAAACAUAGAUAGUGUUUAUUUGAUUUUUUUUUCUUAAGGUUAUUUAAAUAGCUGGUCCAAGUGAGGAUUCUAAGUGUUUGUCUCCUCAGCCUUUGUCUCUGUAGGGGAUAAAUGCUGCACUCCCAUCUGUUACAUGAAUUCAGAGCUGCCAGACGUAACCAAGAGCAGAAUACGCCUUCUCCUUUUCUUCCCUCACUCGCUUGUUCUCUGCUUCCUUGCACAGUCUUUGUUCUCCUGACCUUCUUUGGUGUAUUUCAAUGGCACUGCUGGCAACAAGAGGGGCUACAAACAGCGUGAAUUAGUCUUUCUUUCAUGGGAAACUGCAGCAGGGGGGAGAGUACACUGGGCACUUGUAAUGCUGCUGAUGUGCACUUACAAGGCAGUACAAAAAGUAAACGGUCCUGCAAAGGGAAAGGGGAGUGAAAACAUAGAGUUACUGGGUCUCAAUGCUGGCACACUUCUUACAAGUCAGAAAAGCUUCAAAUGAAGUCGUUUGGGUAGUUUACACUUCUUUUCCUGGUAAACUCACAUCAGCUACAUUGGUUUUAGGAGGUUUUCUGCAUGGGGCCUUCUGCUGAAACAAUGUGAAUGCAAACUCAGCUUGUAGGCAAAUCUUUUCUGUUUCUGUAGCCUGUGACCCCAUGAUUGCUGCUGGUUUCUGUUAUUUAUUAUGUCUGUGAAAUCUUAAGGUCUGUAUCACUUCUGAAGCACAAGCUUGAAAUGUAAAGGCUCAAGUAUAUACAAAAUUCUCCUGAAGUAUAUACAUUGUCUUUAAGAAUGUGUGACCUCCUUUCUUUCUCUCUACUAUUAUGGCACGUCUGAAACUGUGAUUGAAACGUUGUUUGCAGAAAUUGAUUUUUAUCGCUUUAUUUUUCCCAGGUUUACAAUGAGUUGUUGACAGCACUUUGAGUAUUUUAUUUCACUCUUUGUUUUGCAAAGUCAUUUUUCUUUCCCUGUUGUUUGUAUGAAGUCUCUCAUGCACAUCAAAAUCAGGGAGGGGGAAAAGAGGGUUAAAAAAAGCCAAGAAAUACUAUGAGUAAUAUUUAUUGUGUACAGUUGACAUAUUUAGAUGUUAGUUUUGAGGUGAACAGUGUAUAUGCACAAAGGAGCAGGGUUUCAGCUGGCUUAACUUGGAGUAAAUAAAGGCCUUAUCUUACCUUUGCAGUUGACCAUUAAAGUAUGUUCCUGUCCCUGGGCCAGUUAAGUACGUCUGAAGUUUGAUGACAACUGUAGAAUCUGUCAGCAAAGUCUGUGAAGUAAAAUGCUGGUUGUCAUCAACCGUGUCUCUCAAUGGAUGUAGAGUUACCAAAGUCCUGUCAUUUCUUGUGUCGUUGAACAGGGAAAUCUGAGUCAUCUCAGUCACCUGAACCGCCUCAGUUAUUGAGUCAUGUCAGUUAGUCACCUUAGUUGUCAGUAACCUAUGACUGAAUAUACGGAGUCAAUAAAACAUACACUCGAAAUGUUAUCUGCAGUAACAAUCGAGAUUUUUUUUUUUUAAUUCAGCACAAAUGUCCUGUGGAUAUACCGCAGUUAUUUCCUGAUGUAUUAGUAAUGAAUUGGCUGUGCCAUGUUGUUUCCAUGCAGUCAUGACGUCCUCCCUGCUUCCUGGAACAAAACCAGUUCCCAGCACUGCUGUUGCGCUUGUGCCAUCCCAUCCUCCACCUUAAAGAAGCCCUUUCUGGCACUGGGCAGUGAGGAAUAGCAUGGGUAUAAAGAACCAUUCUGCAAGAAAGUAAGAGAAGCAAACAGUUAAGAAUGAAGAAAGGACGCAAUGGGUUUUAUACUGUUCUAUUUUAUUUUCUUCUUUUUUUUUAAGGGAAUAACUGAAGAAUCCUUAAAUAGAGAAUACUUGCAGUGACUGUUCUUUACAGAAUGUACACUGACUGCUAAUCAUAUCUAAAGCAGAGAAACACUAAUUCAAGGGUUGUGUUGAAGAAAUGCUUUGGGUUGGGAACAUUUUUAACUGAAAAGCAGAUUCUGUGAAGGCUUCCAGGGAAGGGCACUUUGCCUGAAGAGAGUCACAUCAAAAGCUCCACCUGGCUUCUAAAUCACAGGUUUCUUGAAAAACCUUAUCAUUACACAGACUUGUACUGAAAUUCAGUCUGAUACAAACCAGAUCAAUUUGUAUUUGUGCCCCUACCUCAUUCAGUUACGAGCAUAUACGCAAAAUGCUCGAUGAAAAAAUACACGUGCAUUGAAAGUCCCCAUCUGAACUAAUCUCAGAGAUUUGAUGGGGAAAAUUCCUGAAAACUAGAUACAGAAACACUUAGUGCCUAAUAAUUUUGCUGGGAGGAGGUGGGCAAGCUGAGAGGGGCUCCCAGAAGCUACACAUUAGACAUGAUAUGAACACAGAAGAUGCUGGAUUUUGGGUGAUCUGUGACUGAAAAAUGGACAACUCCUGUCAGCCCAGAGUGCAACUCCUCACCCUGCUCUAAAUCACAAGUCUCAACUUGGCCAGCGGCCCUGUGCUAAAAACACUUGUUUCUCUCCAACACAACAUCUAUAAAUGGAGCUGGGACAACUGCGUCAGCCAUCACGGAAUAUCUCAACUCGGCAGGGACCCAUAAGGAUCACUGGGCACAACUCGAUGCGUGCCUGGCUUGUAGCUACCUGAACUUCAGUGAAGUGGAUCCCACUGAACUUCGCUUAUAUCUGCAGUAUGCCAGGGACACAGUCACAGCAGCACCCCAGAUUUGCUGCCUUUGGCCUCAACGUGCCUCCUGCUGUUGAUGAUCCUUGUCUCCAGCAGAUGGCCCAGCCAGCCCGCAACCAGCCUUGCUCUCCCUGGCAAUCUCACAGCAGGCACAUUGUGUUAUUCAAGACUGGCACCUCUGAAGUCAGUUUUAAGUUUCAAAUUAUACAGAAAAGUGGUUUUACGUACACCAAGCUAAAUAUUCAUUAGUACCUCAAAAAAUGGCAAUUUUGAAUUUGAAAUGUUUUUAGCAAUAGUGGCUCCAUAUCAAUGACUCAAUAGUACCAUGUCACUGCUGCAGAGUUUGUGAAAAGAUGGUCCCAGGACAGUCAUGCCCGGCAAAUUUAUUUUCUGUAAUAACAAAGAGGAAAAUGAAAAGCGCACAGCUAAUGCAUCAGUUCUACUUUUUAAUAUGACUAUCUUACGGUUUCCUCUAAGUUACUGGAAAUAUACCCAUGACAUAUUUCCCCAUCCAAAGAUCAAUACCUGUUACAAAAAUAAAUGCUGUUCUAGAUGAAAA